Molecule: ribosomal RNA, 558 nt
Filed under: Aspergillus sp. HA35-THA
Lineage: Eukaryota; Fungi; Ascomycota; Eurotiomycetes; Eurotiales; Aspergillaceae
Description: eukaryotic LSU rRNA
Rfam family: 5.8S ribosomal RNA (bases 172-325)
Source: RNAcentral
GGUUCUAGCGAGCCCACCUCCCACCCGUGUUUACUGUAACCUUAGUUGCUUCGGCGGGCCCGCCUUUAAGGCCGCCGGGGGGCAUCAGCCCCCGGGCCCGCGCCCGCCGGAGACACCACGAACUCUGUCUGAUCUAGUGAAGUCUGAGUUGAUUGUAUCGCAAUCAGUUAAAACUUUCAACAAUGGAUCUCUUGGUUCCGGCAUCGAUGAAGAACGCAGCGAAAUGCGAUAACUAGUGUGAAUUGCAGAAUUCCGUGAAUCAUCGAGUCUUUGAACGCACAUUGCGCCCCCUGGUAUUCCGGGGGGCAUGCCUGUCCGAGCGUCAUUGCUGCCCAUCAAGCACGGCUUGUGUGUUGGGUCGUCGUCCCCUCUUCGGGGGGGACGGGCCCCAAAGGCAGCGGCGGCACCGCGUCCGAUCCUCGAGCGUAUGGGGCUUUGUCACCCGCUCUGUAGGCCCGGCCGGCGCUUGCCGAACGCAAAACAACCAUUCUUUCCAGGUUGACCUCGGAUCAGGUAGGGAUACCCGCUGAACUUAAGCAUAUCAAUAAGCGGAGGAAG